This 309-nucleotide ribosomal RNA is filed under the name uncultured bacterium. RNAcentral's name for it is "partial 16S ribosomal RNA". It matches the Rfam family "Bacterial small subunit ribosomal RNA", at positions 504 to 808 of the family's 1533-position model. The record is from RNAcentral.
AGAGACAGCAGCAGCCGCGGUAAUACGUAGGGUGCAAGCGUUAAUCGGAAUUACUGGGCGUAAAGCGUGCGCAGGCGGUUUGUUAAGACAGAUGUGAAAUCCCCGGGCUCAACCUGGGAACUGCAUUUGUGACUGGCAGGCUAGAGUAUGGCAGAGGGGGGUGGAAUUCCGCGUGUAGCAGUGAAAUGCGUAGAUAUGCGGAGGAACACCGAUGGCGAAGGCAGCCCCCUGGGCCAAUACUGACGCUCAUGCACGAAAGCGUGGGGAGCAAACAGGAUUAGAUACCCUGUAGUCCCUGUCUCUUAUACA